GCUGACUGCAGCUGACCGACUUACGUCAUCGUGUUACUGACACCUUAUCGUUAUGAGUGUGUCACUCAUAACACAUUAUUGUACAAUGUUUGCAAAAUCUUUCUAUCGGGGAUAUAAUAUACAAUUUAUAUACAAUAAAUGUAAUAAAUAAUUUAAUAGUACAAAUUUAUAAUCGUCGGUCUGUAAAUAUGGUUAUAAGAGUAAGCGGAGAGUAACCCGUAACGCGAUAAUUACAUGAGAAUGAGCGAGAAAGUAAUGAAAGCGAGCAAGACGACAACAGAAUCUAAAGAGCGAGCGAAACAGUAAUAGAAACGAGCGAGAUAAGAAUAACAGCACGAGAAGAAGGCUCGAAGCUCGAGCGACUCGAGGCUCGAGACUUUCCCCCACUUUUCGUCUUGUAUUUUUAUCUCGCUCGUUCCUAUUACCGUCUCGUUCGUGCUUCAAGCUCUCUUAUUGUCGUCUCGCUCACUCUUAUUACCUUCUCGCUCACUCUCAUAUAGCUGUCGCUUUGUGUACAUAGCACGGAACGCAACCUAAAAAUUGUGCAUAUGAGUUACCCUUCGGAUACUGGUUGUAGUUCAUAUCCAUGUCGUUAAUGUCCUGAGGGCGCUCACCGGCUAAAACCGACUCGCAACGUCGCUCUAGCGUUUCGCUGAUGUGCGCUACUCCUUCUCCUGCCACAUCUAUGUGGCAAAACUCUGAAAUGUGCAACACUGACGGCGAUCAUCUGUUGUAUGGAAUCAUCCCGCGUAGAUGAUCUUCCGCGAUGUCGGUUUCCCCUCAAUACGGGGUCCCCGUGUACGGUGUCGGGAUCGGUCGCUCAGUGCGCGUACCAGGAUCCGGGUGACGAGCGGGGCGGUGGUCUGCCACUCAGUAUGUGGCGCGAGGAAGCGCUCAGUGCGCACUGGCAAGGAAGCCGGUUCUAGGUUCUAGGUUAUGUCGGCACUCACUUCGUGCACUAGGAGUCUCAGUUCAAUACGCUGAGAGGAUCGGUCGGCUCACUUCGCUAGAUUGGGGAGAUCUGCUCUCUUAUCACCAGCGGAGGGCUAUUAUAGCUUCCGUUUAGUGACAAAAGGAGCGGAGAUGUGCGGGGGAACGAGAUAAGCAGAGGGGACUACACGAGGUAGGAAGGUAACGGCCUCGUAUCUUUGUGCCUUAACGACGGCGGAGGAACGGCUCGUUACAAAAUUAUGCAAACAUCUACUGCCAAUACCACUGAGGGCACGACUGAUAAUGGCCCUAAUUGUGCCCUAUUUUGAUUACUGCUGUGCAGCACAAAGGAACAUUACUAUGGAGAACAACCUAAAACUGCAACAGAGCAUUCAAUGCUUUUGUUCGAUUUAUAUACUAGGCAAAGUGGAAUGAGUAUAUAACCUCCUACUUCAACAGAGCGCUACAUCUCUGGAACAGUCUACCGUCUCAUAUAAGGAGUUCAGACACCGUAGAGGGAUUUAAGUCCAGGCUGUAUAGGUAUCUGUUGGAUGGUCGUAAAUAAAAUGGUUUGAGCGACGGAAAUGGGGAAGCUAGCUGUGCUGUGUAUUAAGCUUGCAGAGAACAUAAUUGCGAGCGACACACUGUAUAUAUUAUGUAUUAUACUUUUAUUAUUAUGUUAACGUUUCUAUAGCAAGCAAAUCAAAAAGCUAAAAUAAUGUGUAUUACAUGUAUCAAAUUGUCUCUGCGCUUAAAAGGAUGCAAUCCUGGAGCGCGUAAUAAAUGCCACUAUCUAUCUA
RNAcentral lists this long non-coding RNA (1730 nucleotides) under Monomorium pharaonis (pharaoh ant). Its description in RNAcentral is "uncharacterized LOC114254335". The record is from RNAcentral. Lineage: Eukaryota; Metazoa; Arthropoda; Insecta; Hymenoptera; Formicidae.